AGAAUCAAAAGCAAAGAAAAAAAAAUAAGGACCAAUCCUUGAAGAAAAGGGAACUAAUUCUCAAAGUUUAUUAAUCUCAUAAAAUUGUCAUCACAAACACUGCUAACAAUGAAAAACCUAGGUCUUAUUUAUAGGAUUAGGAAUACCAAUCUCAUUAGGAUUUUAGAAUCCUAAUUUAUUUAUAAUUAGGAAUACUAAAUUAA
This 203-nucleotide unclassified non-coding RNA is filed under the name Hevea brasiliensis (rubber tree). The record is from RNAcentral. Lineage: Eukaryota; Viridiplantae; Streptophyta; Magnoliopsida; Malpighiales; Euphorbiaceae.